CCAGUCCAGUCCAUUUUUAGGCACCGAAACACGAGAAGCACGAUUUAUGGUUCAUAAUCAGCAGGAAAAGACAGAGAGAUCAGAAUUUAAUUCACAGGUGAGAAAUUGGGUGGAAAAAUGUGUGUGCAGGACUUUUUGGGGAGAUUUUGACGAAAAGAAAGAAAAUGUGGAGUGGGAAGAAAAUCUAUCUGCUCGGAGAGCACCACAAUCACUUAAAUUCUCAGUGAACAGACACUCGCAAACAGAACAAAAAAGCUAUUUUGGCGGUUCUGCAAAACUCUUUCCCCAACUGAAACCGCAUUCAUUGCAAUUCAAACCCCCCUCGAAAUCGCCACGAACCCCUACACGCAGAACGCUCACUGGGACAGAGAUAUAUGGAGGAAGAGGGAAUUGGGUUGGUACUGGCUAGAGCCACAGAGCUUCGAUUCAAAAUCAGCAAUUGCAUCCACAAGGCUACCUCUACUCCAAGCCAUGGCCCUGAACAAGAAGAUGGAAAGAAACAAGGAGGAGGAGAAGGACAAGAAGAAGAAGAGGAAGAGGAGGAAGAAGAAGAAAUGGAAAGACUUUUGAACAUUUCCGAUGCCCUCCAAUCCCUCGAGACUCAGCUCUCUUCCUUGCAGACUUUGCAACAACAACAACGAUAUGAAAGAGAAGUGGCCCUUGCUGAGAUUGAAAAUAGCCGUAAGAUGUUACUUGAUAAGCUCAAGGAGUACGAAGGGAAGGAUUUGGAAGUAAUACAUGAAGCUUCUGCGUUUGCUUGUGAAACAGUAGAACACAACAAUGAUCUUCAGCUUCCUCCAUAUCCAAGCCGCCCUCCAAAAAACUCCCUUCACCUAGAGAAUGGCUACCUGCCACAGUACCCUUCCACAUCUAAGCCUGUACGAAAUGGAACAAUCAACAGUUAUCCAACAAAUGAAGCGAAGAAGAAUAUCAGCGAGUUAGAAAAAAGUCAAAAGCAAACUGGGACCGGGUCCCAAGGUUCUAGGAAAGGGUUGGGAUUUUUCAUUAGUGCAGCAAGCAAGACGGUGCUUACUCUUGUUGGUGUGGUAUCUAUAUUAAGCAUGUCUGGUUUUGGGCCUAAUUUUGUGAAAACAGAUAACCUUUUCAAAGUUUUCGGCCUCUCUCAGCAACCAGCAGCUGACGAAAGGAGAUCUGGUACUCAGUGCCCGCCUGGGAAAGUCCUAGUAGUUGAAAAUGGGGAAGCUCGGUGUCUUGUUAAAGAAAGAGUUGAAGUACCAUUCUCAUCGGUGGUUGCAAAACCGGAUGUAAACUACGGCUUUUACUAUAAGUUACCCAAGAUUGCUCCAAAUCCCAUAUCAGAUAACACCAUUUUCAAAACGUCCUGCUAAUUGUUGACAAAAGAAACAAUCUGCCCCUGCCACAUUCAAGCCAGCUUGAGCUUAUAACCAAAGACCAUGAACACUUUGGAAGGAAGAGGAUUCACAGAAGAGCAAGAAGCUCUGGUGGUGAAGUCAUGGACGGCAAUGAAGCCGAAUGCCGGGGAAUUGGGUCUCAAGUUCUUCUUGAAGAUAUUUGAGAUUGCUCCAUCAGCUCAGAAGCUGUUCUCAUUCUUGAAAGACUCAGAUGUUCCCGUGGAACGAAACCCAAAGCUCAAGUCCCAUGCCAAGACUGUCUUUCUCAUGACUUGUGAAACGGCAGUGCAACUGCGGAAAGCUGGCAAAGUUACUCUGAGAGAGUCAAGCUUGAAAAAAAUGGGCUCUGUCCACUUUGAACAUGGGGUGGUCGAUGAACACUAUGAGGUCACAAAGUUUGCGCUGCUCGAAACUAUAAAGGAAGCAGUACCCGAAAUGUGGUCUCCGGAGACGAAGAAUGCGUGGGGAGAAGCUUAUGAUCAGUUGGUUGCUGCUAUCAAAUCUGAAAUGAAGCCUUCCUUUUAAAUAAGCUUAUAUAUAUUAUGAUCUCUUCCCUUUAUAUGAAACUAUGUGUGUUUGAAAUGAUUUAAUAUGCGCGCAUGUGUAUUUUGAGGACAUUGUAUGCUAUUAUGGACAUGAUCAAUUAAGUAGUACUACAAGUUCACACUUGUGAAAUGUA
RNA transcript from Carya illinoinensis, 2052 nucleotides. It is a transcript of the gene named plastid division protein PDV2-like, with no coding region annotated. Lineage: Eukaryota; Viridiplantae; Streptophyta; Magnoliopsida; Fagales; Juglandaceae. The transcript is spliced from 6 exons. The record is from RefSeq and is a predicted model, not a curated record.